GGAUAAUGAUUCUGUGAAGCAACUGAUGCAAGAAGAUGAAGAGCAGACAACUUCUAGUGAGAAUUCUGAAGACGAAACUGUUAAGUUGGAAGAAAUUCAGCCUGAUGGCGUUUCCCUGGAAGGUGGUAGUGAUCCCUCAGAAGAUGCAAAAGAUUUAGAUAUGAAGCUUUUUAUUGGUGGAGUUGUACAUAAUGACGAGGACACUGCUAAUAAGGAUGAGUAUGUGCGUUUACCGGCCGAUAUUAAUGAUAUGGAGAGAGAUUCUUUUGUAUUACAUAUUCCUGAGAAAAGUCUAGAUUAUGACAGUAGAGAAAGUAAAGCAUCCAGGAUAAAAGUGGCAG
This 341-nucleotide unclassified non-coding RNA is filed under the name Hevea brasiliensis (rubber tree). The record is from RNAcentral. Lineage: Eukaryota; Viridiplantae; Streptophyta; Magnoliopsida; Malpighiales; Euphorbiaceae.